RNAcentral lists this ribosomal RNA (200 nucleotides) under uncultured bacterium. Its description in RNAcentral is "partial 16S ribosomal RNA". It matches the Rfam family "Bacterial small subunit ribosomal RNA", at positions 8 to 205 of the family's 1533-position model. The record is from RNAcentral.
AGAGUUUGAUCCUGGCUCAGAACAAACGCUGGCGGCGUGCCUAAUACAUGCAAGUCGAACGAGGAAGUACCUUCGGGUAUUGUACUAGUGGCGUACGGGUGAGUAACGCGUGGAUAAUCUUCCUCUAGGUGGGGAAUAACCAGUCGAAAGAUUGGCUAAUACCGCAUAAGACCACAAUGUCUUCGGACAAAGGGGUUAAA